RNAcentral lists this ribosomal RNA (253 nucleotides) under uncultured bacterium. RNAcentral describes it as "partial 16S ribosomal RNA". It matches the Rfam family "Archaeal small subunit ribosomal RNA", at positions 474 to 727 of the family's 1478-position model. The record is from RNAcentral.
UACCAGCACCCCGAGUUGUCGGGACGUUUAUUGGGCCUAAAGCAUCCGUAGCCGGUUCUACAAGUCUUCCGUUAAAUCCAGCUGCUUAACAGAUGGGCUGCGGAAGAUACUAUGGAGCUAGGAGGCGGGAGAGGCAAGCGGUACUCGAUGGGUAGGGGUAAAAUCCGUUGAUCCAUUGAAGACCACCAGUGGCGAAGGCGGCUUGCCAGAACGCGCUCGACGGUGAGGGAUGAAAGCUGGGGGAGCAAACCGG